This 504-nucleotide ribosomal RNA is filed under the name uncultured bacterium. RNAcentral describes it as "partial 16S ribosomal RNA". It matches the Rfam family "Bacterial small subunit ribosomal RNA", at positions 29 to 523 of the family's 1533-position model. The record is from RNAcentral.
AUUGAACGCUGGCGGCAGGCCUAACACAUGCAAGUCGAACGGUAGCACAGAGAGCUUGCUCUCGGGUGACGAGUGGCGGACGGGUGAGUAAUGUCUGGGAAACUGCCUGAUGGAGGGGGAUAACUACUGGAAACGGUAGCUAAUACCGCAUAACGUCGCAAGACCAAAGAGGGGGACCUUCGGGCCUCUUGCCAUCAGAUGUGCCCAGAGGGGAUUAGCUAGUAGGCGGGGUAAUGGCCUACCUAGGCGACGAUCCCUAGCUGGUCUGAGAGGAUGACCAGCCACACUGGAACUGAGACACGGUCCAGACUCCUACGGGAGGCAGCAGUGGGGAAUAUUGCACAAUGGGCGCAAGCCUGAUGCAGCCAUGCCGCGUGUGUGAAGAAGGCCUUCGGGUUGUAAAGCACUUUCAGCGGGGAGGAAGGCGGUACGGUUAAUAACCGUGCUGAUUGACGUUACCCGCAGAAGAAGCACCGGCUAACUCCGUGCCAGCAGCCGCCGCAG